AAUAGAUUAUUUAUUGACAUGAUAAAGUGACGGAUGAGACAUUCUUGGAUGGGAACAGUUUUUGGUGUGAAACGUUUAUAAGAAUAGUUGAUGAAAUUCAUAGAUGGUUAGUGUGUGUGUGUGUGUGUGUGUGUGUGUGUGUAGCCUACGAUACUCAUCUGUAUAUUGCGGAAACACCAAUUCAUGAACGAAGUGAGUUGAUGAGUAAUGGAUAAGUAACUGAAUAAACUUAGUAAACGACAUAACUACCCAAAAGUAAUAACUAGAGGAUUAUGAAAAGCUUGCUUAGUUGCCACUUGUCACUUGCCUUCGACACUUGGCACUUGCCUUCAACAGCGGCGGUCGAAGUGAUUGGCCCUGUGGUCUGGUAACUUGAUUUUGUAUUAUAUACACGUAAACCUCUCUUUCCGUAUACGUGUACGUGUGUAUAUUAUUUACUGUACUGUGUGUGCAGCAACAAAUAGGUAUGGAAACUUACAAAGGCUAGAACAAUGGACUAUUGUGUAUUUAUCCGUGAACUCGUCAUGUGUCUAUACUGUGUGGAAGAGAAGGCAAGAACGUGCAGAAGCUUAGGAAGGAAGGGGUGAAUGGAUGGACACGUCCUCACAUAUUAUAAGAGCGACAGCCUGAGGGAGUAUCAAGGAUAACUGUGCAAGAGGAAGUAUCGCCAUGUCAAGGACGGUGUCGUUAUAAGGCCGUUAUAAUGCUCUUGAAACAAGGUUGAAAUAUAAUCGAGAGUUGGUGGACAGCUUCCUGAUUUUCAAAACUACGGAGUGUUCCAUCCAUCCAUCUAUGUUAGUACCAUGACGUCUUCCUGGGCCUAUGUCAAACUCUGGACAUGGGCAUAGCCGACUUCACCACCGGCGGAAACGAAAGUCG
This is a long non-coding RNA of Scylla paramamosain (green mud crab), 879 nucleotides long. RefSeq lists it as uncharacterized. The transcript is spliced from 3 exons. NCBI's taxonomy places the organism in Eukaryota, Metazoa, Arthropoda, Malacostraca, Decapoda, Portunidae. The record is from RefSeq and is a predicted model, not a curated record.